CUAACAAGGAUUCCCUUAGUAACUGCGAGUGAAGUGGGAAAAGCUCAAAUUUAAAAUCUGGCAGUCCUUUUGGCUGUCCGAGUUGUAAUCUAGAGAAGCAUUAUCUGUGCUGAAUCCAUGUAUAAGUCUCCUGGAAUGGAGUGUCAUAGAGGGUGAGAAUCCCGUCUUUGACAUGGACUAUCAGUGCAUUGUGAUAUGCUCUCAAAGAGUCGAGUUGUUUGGGAAUGCAGCUCUAAAUGGGUGGUAAAUUCCAUCUAAAGCUAAAUAUUGGCGAGAGACCGAUAGCGAACAAGUACCGUGAGGGAAAGAUGAAAAGAACUUUGGAAAGAGAGUUAAACAGUAUGUGAAAUUGUUGAAAGGGAAACGCUUAAAGUCAGUCACAUUGAUCAGGGAUCAACCUUGCUUUUUGCUUGGUGCAUUUUCUGAUCAAUGGGUCAGCAUCAAUUUUGACCAGUGGAAAAAGGCUGAGGGAAUGUGGCAUCUUUUGAUGUGUUAUAGCUCUCUGUCAUAUACAUUGGUUGGGAUUGAGGAAUUCAGCAUGCCGCAAGGCCGGGUUUUAACCACGUUCAUGCUUAGGAUGCUGGCAUAAUGACUUUAAUCGACCCGU
This 607-nucleotide ribosomal RNA is filed under the name Inocephalus sp. DLL9679. RNAcentral describes it as "partial large subunit ribosomal RNA". It matches the Rfam family "Eukaryotic large subunit ribosomal RNA", at positions 65 to 652 of the family's 3401-position model. The record is from RNAcentral. Lineage: Eukaryota; Fungi; Basidiomycota; Agaricomycetes; Agaricales; Entolomataceae.